This 1183-nucleotide long non-coding RNA is filed under the name Sinocyclocheilus grahami. RNAcentral describes it as "lncRNA (ENSSGRG00000028303.1)". Lineage: Eukaryota; Metazoa; Chordata; Actinopteri; Cypriniformes; Cyprinidae. The record is from RNAcentral.
CGAGGGCAUUUUUCAUAACAUUUGUUAAAUUUUGCUGUUUCAUAAUUCUUGUACUGUUAAAUAUUUGAUGAAUAGCCUAUGAUAUGCCAUUUAAUAUCAAACUCCAUUGUAACAACCCAGCAUAGUGUGGCAACACCUCCGUUAUUAGGACAUGGUGUCACAACUGUCAACAUGUUCAAUGAACUUUGAACAUAAGUAUCAUUAUUCCUGAACAAUAACUGUAAAAGUUCAAAUAUGUUUUAACAGACUAUACAACAAUUAACCAACUCUAAGAAAUACUCACAGGAGUAAGAAGUGAAAAUUAGCUGUAACAAUUCACGAUUUAUGAAACUGAUCUACAACAACAGGAACUUGUCAAGUCUGAACACCACUCUGCAUCUGUUAGUAAUAUGAGCUCUCAGAAAUGACUAAUUGUUAAGAAAGCAGAUUUCAUCUUGGCUUAUGACAAAAUUAGAUGUCUGUUCACUGAGCUUUUUCAUCAGAGUCACAGAUUUUAUUAAUCUCAUUAAAACUUAAAUUUCUCACUCCCCAUCAUGUUCUUGUUUAUAAUUGCUUGCCACAUAGUCCUCUAGACAUUCCUCUGUUCAGCUCCCCUUUGACCUACAAGUGGGAGGGCAACUUCAUAUUUUGUGCACAAGUUACUUUGCAAUCAUUUAUAAUUUCACAUUUUCGGAUGCAGGAGAAAAUCAGAAAGAAAAAGUUUAGAAAGAAAUUAAACAAUUUUUACGUACGCGCGCACACAUUACACAGUCAUUUUUUAAAUCAGAUUAUCAGAACAACAAAAAAACAAGCAUUGGGUCUGUAUGACAAAGUUCCUCUUUACCUAGAUGUGUACGAACAGGAGAGAGAUGCCAAAUUAAACAAUGCCUUGGAGAAUUAUAAGAGCCAGAACAGUUAAAAACGAGACUGUGGUAGUAAGAGCAUCCAGUCUGGCAUGAAAAUGAGGUGCUGUGUUUUUCUGUUUCUGCUCCUGCAGGUUUUGGGAGUUUUAGGCUUUCCUCUGUUUGAUGAUGCUCUGCAGAUAGCACUCAAUCGGAUCAAUGCACGCAUUGCCACCAAUCACCUCUACAGAGUGUCCAAGGAGUCUGUAAAGAGGGUCAGUACACUCUUACAACGGUUUCAUUUCUGCAUCUGUCAAAACUGGUAUAGGGUGACUAGUGAGAAUCAAGCAGACAAAGUAUAA